UACCAGCACCCCGAGUGGUCGGGACGAUUACUGGGCGUAAAGGGCGCGUAGGCGGUUCGCUAAGUUGGAUGUGAAAACUCUGGGCUCAACCCAGAGCCUGCAUCCAAAACUGGCGGGCUAGAGUUCUGGAGGGGGUAGCGGAAUUCCUGGUGUAGCGGUGAAAUGCGUAGAUAUCAGGAGGAACACCGGUGGCGAAGGCGGCUACCUGGACAGAAACUGACGCUGAGGCGCGAAAGCUAGGGGAGCAAACAGG
RNAcentral lists this ribosomal RNA (253 nucleotides) under uncultured bacterium. RNAcentral's name for it is "partial 16S ribosomal RNA". The stretch from base 27 to 253 matches the Rfam family "Bacterial small subunit ribosomal RNA", at positions 550 to 776 of the family's 1533-position model. The record is from RNAcentral.